Molecule: ribosomal RNA, 458 nt
Filed under: [Eubacterium] saphenum
Lineage: Bacteria; Bacillati; Bacillota; Clostridia; Peptostreptococcales; Anaerovoracaceae
Description: bacterial SSU rRNA
Rfam family: Bacterial small subunit ribosomal RNA
Source: RNAcentral
GAUGAACGCUGGCGGCGUGCUUAACACAUGCAAGUCGAGCGAGAAACUACAUGCAGACACUUCGGUAGAAGCGAGUAGCGGAAAGCGGCGGACGGGUGAGUAACGCGUAGGCAACCUGCCCUUCACAGAGGUAUAGCCUCGGGAAACCGGGAUUAAAACCACAUAAAAUCAUAGGUUCGCAUGAACCAAAGGUCAAAGAUUUAUCGGUGAAGGAUGGGCCUGCGUCUGAUUAGCUGGUUGGUAGGGUAAAAGCCUACCAAGGCGACGAUCAGUAGCCGACCUGAGAGGGUGAUCGGCCACAUUGGAACUGAGACACGGUCCAAACUCCUACGGGAGGCAGCAGUGGGGGAUAUUGCACAAUGGGGGAAACCCUGAUGCAGCAACGCCGCGUGAGGUAUGAAGGCCUUUGGGUUGUAAGCCUCUGUCCUAGGGGAAGAAAAAAAUGACGUACCCGAGGA